GAGAGAGAGAGAGAGAGAGAGAGAGAGAGUGAGGCUACUAUGCUAUCGGAAGCACGGAGCCUUCCAUGCUUCCAGCUCGUUUUCGAUGUUGCGACUUUCGAAUCGUCGAUCGGCUCCGCUAAACUUGAUCUAGAGUAUUUGGAGUACCUAGAAAAUAAAUUUUAUUAUUUUUCGAUAUCAUUUGCCUAGUGAUCGAAUGGGCUCAAAAUCAACAAAUUUCAAUAGCCGUAGUGAGCCGUUCGCAAGUUUAACGGUGUAGAAAUAUCCAAAUCACGUGAAAUUUUGAUAGAAAAUUCUUUAUACUAUAUAAAACAAGAUCAAUAUCUUUGAUUUAAAAUUUUAAUGUCAUAUUAUUAUAUUUUGUAAGAUUUUUAUUUUCAGCCGUUGAUUUUGAGCCCCUUCGUUCACUAGGCAAAUGAUAUCGUAAAAUCAUAAAAUUUAUUUUCUAGAUACUUCAAAUACUCUAGAUCAAGUUUAACGGAGCCGAUCGACGAUUCGAAAGUCGCAACAUCGAAAACGAGCUAGAAGCACGGAAGGCUCCGUGCUUCCGAUAGCAUAGUAG
This 562-nucleotide long non-coding RNA is filed under the name Ananas comosus (pineapple). RNAcentral describes it as "long non-coding RNA (ACOM_LNC036839)". Lineage: Eukaryota; Viridiplantae; Streptophyta; Magnoliopsida; Poales; Bromeliaceae. The record is from RNAcentral.